AUGGCCGUAGUCAGCAGAGCCCGGGCUUCUCUCCCUUCGCCGUCAUCGUCGCCGUUGCCGGCCUUCUCCCCUCGGUCGCCGCAGCCCGAGGUGGCGGAGAGGAUGUUCACGCGUGGAGGGAGCGGCCGGUCGUCGUCGUCCAGUGCCUGCGGGGCUAACAGGAGCGCCAGCCUCAGAGAGAUCGACGAAGAGGCCGCCAUCUUGCAUGAUGCUGAUGAUGAUGACGGUGGAGGGAAGCUGUAUGUCGCCGUCGGGAAGGACAUCAAGGACAGCAGGUCCAACCUCAUCUGGGCAGCUCGGAACCUCCUCGCCGGUGAUCCCAAGCUUGUCCUGCUGCACGUCCACCAGCCUGCCGACAGAAUCAUGAUAGGAUUAUGCAAGGUUCCAGCAAGCCAGGUCGAAGAAAAGGAGCUCAAAGCAUACAGAAAGAUUGAGAAGGAGGAGAUGAACACACUUUUAAACCAGUACCUCAAUUUCUGCAGAGUUUCUCUCAAGAUGCAAGCUGAAACGCUGGUGAUCGAGAAGAACAGUCCUGCAAAUGGGAUUGUUGAGCUCAUUGAUCAGAAUCGCAUUACAAAGCUUGUUAUGGGAACAUCUUCCUUCUCAGUGAAGAGGAAAGUACCAAAAUCAAAAGUUGCAGCCGGUGUGCAUGCACAGGCCAAACCAUACUGCCAGAUCUUCUAUAUUUGCAAAGAGACUCUUGCUUGCUCUAGGGAGGCCACUCAGCUUUGUGCAAAAGUAGAGUCACCCCGAAGUAGCUGCGCAAGCACUAUCUCAGAUCAACCUGAGUUAACUCCAAGAUCCCUAUCACUGCCACCAGGACAUCCAGGUCUUUUAGGCUCUACAGGCCAACAACCCCUUCCACGACGGUCCAACUCAGUCAGUUAUCCCUUGUCUGGAAUGAUAGCAGACAGUGUAGAAAACAUGUCACCUGCAAGGCGGCAGUCAAUUGAUAGUCUCUUAGGCUCUACAGAACAAAAGGCCCUGCCACGACGGUCCAACUCAGUUAGUUAUUCCUUGUCUGGAUCGAUAGCGGGCAGUGUAGAAAUCAUGUCACCUGCAAGGCGGCAGUCGAUUGAUAUGACACCAACAGGUUCCUCUCCGAGUUCCAGCCAGCAAAGCACUGGUGGGUCCUCAUUGGGUCUGAGGGAUUUGGACAGUAUGGAUGGCUCACCAGUGCCUGUUUCAGUUGCAAGCUCUGAAGAAGAACAUCAGCACUCUACGGUGGAAAUACGUGAAAUGUUUGAGCAACUGCACCGAGUCCGCAAUCAGCUAGAGCGCUCGAAAAAGGAAGCGUCUGAGGGCCGGCAGAAAGCCGAGAAGAACUUGUUUGAAUCUUCUAUGAUGUUCAAAGCACGGGAGAGUUCACUCUGCAAAGAAAAAAAGGAGGUAGAGGAAAGGCUAACAAGAGAAAAGGCUGACCUUGAAAAAGAGCACUUCCAUGUAUGCAACGAGCUGCAGAAGGUAAAUGAGCAAAGAGCAGAAUUGGAGAGCAAGCUUCUCCAGACAAAUGCCCUAAUGGAAGAGCUCCAACAGUUGCAAGCAGAGCUGCAGCGUGAGAAAGACCAUGCUGUUAAAGAAGCUGAAGAAAUGCGCCAAACAAAUGGUAACAGUGUAUUUGGCUCUACUAGUGCUGUUGCCCUAACAGAAUUCAGCUACACAGAGAUAGAAGAGGCAACGGACAACUUUGAUGACUCCAAAAAGAUUGGCAGUGGUGGGUGUGGAACCGUCUACAAGGGAUUUCUCCGUCAUACUACCGUAGCCAUAAAGAAAUUCAACCGUGAAGGCACAACAGGAGAUAAAGAGUUCAAUGACGAGGUAGAAACACUUUCUAGGAUGAGGCAUCCAAACCUUGUCACUCUGAUAGGAGUGUGCAGGGAGGCCAAAGCGUUGGUCUUCGAAUUCCUGUCGAACGGAAGCCUAGAGGACUGCCUGCAGUGCGAGCACCAAAGAGAGCCACUCUCAUGGCGAAUGCGCAUCAAAAUCGCUGCCGACAUCUGCACGGGACUUAUCUUCCUCCACUCUAACAAACCAAAAGGCAUUGCCCAUGGCGAUCUGAAGCCUGACAAUGUCCUUCUUGACACUAGCUUUGUUUGCAAACUGGCAGACUUUGGAAUCUCUCGUCCCUUGGAUCUGACAAACACCACCGUCACCCCUUACCACCGAACAAACCAAAUUAAAGGCACAAUGGGAUACAUGGAUCCAGGAUACAUCGCCUCAGGGGAGAUCACAGCUCAGUAUGAUGUCUACUCCUUUGGUGUAGUUCUGAUGCGGUUGCUGACUGGCAAGAACCCCCUAGGCCUUCCGAAUGAGGUGGAGGCAGCCUUGAGCAAUGACAUGUUGCAAGAUAUAAUUGAUACUUCUGGAGGGGAAUGGCCACCUGAGUACACUGAAGAGUUGGCAAGACUAGCACUGAGAUGUUGCCGGUAUGAACGGAAGGAGCGGCCUAAUCUUGCAAAUGAAGCCUGGGGUAUCCUGCAAGCUAUGAUGAACUGUCCAGAUGAUAAAUGCAAGCCACCAACGUUUUUCAUCUGUCCAAUGACACAGGAGAUCAUGAGGGAUCCACACAUUGCUGCCGAUGGAUUCACAUAUGAAGGUGAGGCCAUCAAGGACUGGCUUCAAAGGGGGCAUAAAAUGUCCCCCAUGACCUACCUCAGCUUCACACACCAUGAGUUAAUGCCGAACAAUGCCCUUCGUUUUGCAAUUCAAGAAUGGCAAAUGCAACAGCAACCGUGA
RNAcentral lists this ribosomal RNA (2736 nucleotides) under Triticum aestivum (bread wheat). Its description in RNAcentral is "partial small subunit ribosomal RNA". Lineage: Eukaryota; Viridiplantae; Streptophyta; Magnoliopsida; Poales; Poaceae. The record is from RNAcentral.